RNAcentral lists this ribosomal RNA (1405 nucleotides) under Boana albomarginata (white-banded tree frog). RNAcentral's name for it is "partial 16S ribosomal RNA". It matches the Rfam family "Bacterial large subunit ribosomal RNA", at positions 378 to 2575 of the family's 2925-position model. The record is from RNAcentral. Lineage: Eukaryota; Metazoa; Chordata; Amphibia; Anura; Hylidae.
GCCAAAAACCUAGCCCACCCUCACCCUGAUACGUAAUAAUAACUUUUAAAACUAAAUAAAUCAUUCUAUCAAUUAAGUAAAGGCGAUAAAAAAAUUACUUGGAGCUAUACAAAUAGUACCGCAAGGGAAAGCUGAAAUAGAAAUGAAAUAACACUUAAGCACAAAAAAGUAGAGAUAAUACCUCGUACCUUUUGCAUCAUGGUUUAACUAGUCACAAUCAAGCAAAGAGAAUUUAAGUUUGACCACCCGAAACUAAGUGAGCUACUCCAAGGCAGCUUAAUGAGCCAACCCGUCUCUGUUGCAAAAGAGUGGGAAGACCUUCGAGUAGGGGUGACAGACCAAACGAACUUAGUGAUAGCUGGUUACCCAACAAGAGAAUUUUAGUUCUACCUAAAGCCCCGUUAAAGUUUUUUAACUAACCACUUCGCUUUAGAGUUAUUCAAAUAAGGUACAGCCUAUUUGAACCAGGAAACAACCUCAACUACUGGGUAAAUUAAUUUGCGUACACUAAAGUAGGCCUAAAAGCAGCCACCUUUAAAAUAGCGUCAAAGCUUAACUAUAUAGCUUAUUUAAUUCCGCAAUUAUACCUCAACCCUUUAUCGUUACCGGGUAAUUUUAUAUCUCUAUAAAACAUAUAAUGUUAAAACUAGUAACAAGAAGCAACCCUUCUCUUAAAUGCAAGUGUAAGUCAGAAAGGAUAAACCACUGUCAAUUAACAUAAAUGAUCUUAAAUUAGUAACCCCACAAGAAAAUCCUAAUAAAAUAGAUGUUAAACUAACACAAGAGCAUUACAAGUAAGAUUAAAAGAAAAAGAAGGAACUCGGCAAACACUAACCCCGCCUGUUUACCAAAAACAUCGCCUCUUGAGAAAAUAUAAGAGGUCUAGCCUGCCCAGUGACUUAGUUCAACGGCCGCGGUAUCCUAACCGUGCGAAGGUAGCGUAAUCACUUGUUCUUUAAAUGAGGACUAGUAUGAACGGCAUCACGAGGGUUACACUGUCUCCUUUUUCUAAUCAGUAAAACUAAUCUCCCCGUGAAGAAGCUGGGAUAUUCAUAUAAGACGAGAAGACCCUAUGGAGCUUUAAACUAAUUAACACUUGCUGCAUUUUUUUAUCUUCCAGAACACCCCCAUUAAGCAUAGCAUCAUGAUUUAAUAGUUUUAGAUUGGGGUGAUCGCGGAGUAAAAAACAACCUCCACGCCGAAAGGAUCUUUUUCCCUGAGCAGAAAGCUACAACUUUAAGCACUAAAAAAUUAACGUUUAUUGACCCAAUAGUAUUGAUCAACGAACCAAGUUACCCUAGGGAUAACAGCGCAAUCCACUUCAAGAGCUCCUAUCGACAAGUGGGUUUACGACCUCGAUGUUGGAUCAGGGUAUCCCAGUGGUGCAGCCGCUACUAACGGUUCG